UUUUUUUUUUUGAGGUUCACGGAAACGAAGCUUUGGUGACACUCCUCGUUUAGUUGGGGAAUAUGGCCUUCAUCCGGCCGCUGAGCGGGCCCCCACCAUAAGUUUUCAAAGCCUAUGGACAGCCCAUGCUUCCUGCUACAGAGACGCUGGGCCGGGCCUACUCAGAAGGGCCACAUUUGUUCCUAGUUCAUUUUGUUUGGGCGUUUGGCGGCGAGUAAAAAACAAGUGUCUUGAGUCAGUUCAUACCUGCAGCGUUCCCAGACGUGACAGCAAAAAAAAAAACACGCUAAGAGUUUUCUAAAAAAAUUCUUUCCCAAAACUAUUUAUGGGAAGCUCUACUAUUUUUUUCCUUAAAAAUCAUAUCAUCCCACAGCAGAUUCCUAAUAAUAAACUCCCCAAUACUUCAAAACUGACCACAUCAGCACGUGUGGACCUCUCAGUUGAGCCGCCAUCACCUCUCCC
Molecule: long non-coding RNA, 462 nt
Filed under: Setaria viridis
Lineage: Eukaryota; Viridiplantae; Streptophyta; Magnoliopsida; Poales; Poaceae
Description: long non-coding RNA (SVIR_LNC010297)
Source: RNAcentral